This 429-nucleotide ribosomal RNA is filed under the name Bacteroidota bacterium. RNAcentral describes it as "Bacteroidetes bacterium partial 16S ribosomal RNA". It matches the Rfam family "Bacterial small subunit ribosomal RNA", at positions 355 to 776 of the family's 1533-position model. Lineage: Bacteria; Pseudomonadati; Bacteroidota. The record is from RNAcentral.
UAGGGAAUCUUCGGCAAUGGGGGGAACCCUGACCGAGCAACGCCGCGUGAGUGAAGAAGGUUUUCGGAUCGUAAAGCUCUGUUGUUACGGAAGAACGAGUGUGAGAAUGGAAAGUUCAUGCUGUGACGGUACUUAACCAGAACGGGACGGCUAACUACGUGCCAGCAGCCGCGGUAAUACGUAGGUCCCGAUCGUUGUCCGGAUUUAUUGGGCGUAAAGCGAGCGCAGGCGGUUAGAAAAGUCUGAAGUGAAAGGCAGUGGCUCAACCAUUGUAGGCUUUGGAAACUGUUUAACUUGAGUGCAGAAGGGGAGAGUGGAAUUCCAUGUGUAGCGGUGAAAUGCGUAGAUAUAUGGAGGAACACCGGUGGCGAAAGCGGCUCUCUGGUCAGUAACUGACGCUGAGGCUCGAAAGCGUGGGGAGCGAACAGG